AUUGAACGCUGGCGGAAGGCUUAACACAUGCAAGUAGAACGAGGGGCGGACGGGAGAGUAAUGCUUGGGAAUCUAGCUUAUGGAGGGGGAUAACUACGGGAAACUGUAGCAAAUACCGCGUACCAUAAGAUGAGCCCAAGGGUGAUUAGGUAGAUGGUGAGGUAAAGGCGCAACAAGCCGACGAUCUCUAGCUGGUCUGAGAGGAUGACCGGCCACACUGGAACUGGGACACGGUCCAGACGCCUACGGGAGGCAGCAGUGGGGAAUAUUGCACAAUGGGCGCAAGCCUGAUGCAGCCAUGCCGCGUGUAUGAAGAAGGCCUUCGGGUUGUAAAGUACUUUCAGCGAGGAGGCGUUACUCGCAGAAGAAGCACCGGCUAACUCCGUGCCAGCAGCCGCGGUAAUUC
This 406-nucleotide ribosomal RNA is filed under the name uncultured bacterium. RNAcentral's name for it is "partial 16S ribosomal RNA". It matches the Rfam family "Bacterial small subunit ribosomal RNA", at positions 30 to 526 of the family's 1533-position model. The record is from RNAcentral.